UUAUAGGAUUUUUUAAAAUCCAUAUAUAACAUCACACUUAAAGCAU
Ictidomys tridecemlineatus (thirteen-lined ground squirrel) is the source of this 46-nucleotide non-coding RNA. The record is from Rfam. NCBI's taxonomy places the organism in Eukaryota, Metazoa, Chordata, Mammalia, Rodentia, Sciuridae.